UACGUAGGGGGCUAGCGUUAUCCGGAAUUACUGGGCGUAAAGGGUGCGUAGGUGGUUUCUUAAGUCAGAGGUGAAAGGCUACGGCUCAACCGUAGUAAGCCUUUGAAACUGGGGAACUUGAGUGCAGGAGAGGAGAGUGGAAUUCCUAGUGUAGCGGUGAAAUGCGUAGAUAUUAGGAGGAACACCAGUUGCGAAGGCGGCUCUCUGGACUGUAACUGACACUGAGGCUCGAAAGCGUAGGGAGCAAACAGG
RNAcentral lists this ribosomal RNA (252 nucleotides) under uncultured bacterium. Its description in RNAcentral is "partial 16S ribosomal RNA". It matches the Rfam family "Bacterial small subunit ribosomal RNA", at positions 524 to 776 of the family's 1533-position model. The record is from RNAcentral.